CCCAGACUCCUACGGGAGGCAGCAGUGGGGAAUAUUGGACAAUGGGCGAAAGCCUGAUCCAGCAAUGCCGCGUGAGUGAUGAAGGCCUUAGGGUUGUAAAGCUCUUUUACCAGGGAUGAUAAUGACAGUACCUGGAGAAUAAGCUCCGGCUAACUCCGUGCCAGCAGCCGCGGUAAUACGGAGGGAGCUAGCGUUGUUCGGAAUUACUGGGCGUAAAGCGCGCGUAGGCGGUCUAUUAAGUCAGGGGUGAAAUCCCGGGGCUCAACCCCGGAACUGCCCUUGAAACUGCUAGACUAGAAUCUUGGAGAGGUCAGUGGAAUUCCGAGUGUAGAGGUGAAAUUCGUAGAUAUUCGGAAGAACACCAGUGGCGAAGGCGACUGACUGGACAAGUAUUGACGCUGAGGUGCGAAAGUGUGGGGAGCAAACAGGAUUAGAUACCCUGGUAGUCCACACCGUAAACGAUGAUAACUAGCUGUCCGGGUUCACAGAACUUGGGUGGCGCAGCUAACGCAUUAAGUUAUCCGCCUGGGGAGUACGGUCGCAAGAUUAAAACUCAAAGGAAUUGACGGGGGCCUGCACAAGCGGUGGAGCAUGUGGUUUAAUUCGAAGCAACGCGCAGAACCUUACCAGCGUUUGACAUCCCGAUCGCGAUUAGAGGAGACUCUUUUCUUCAGUUCGGCUGGAUCGGUGACAGGUGCUGCAUGGCUGUCGUCAGCUCGUGUCGUGAGAUGUUGGGUUAAGUCCCGCAACGAGCGCAACCCUCAUCCUUAGUUGCCAUCAUUUAGUUGGGCACUUUAAGGAAACUGCCGGUGAUAAGCCGGAGGAAGGUGGGGAUGACGUCAAGUCCUCAUGGCCCUUACACGCUGGGCUACACACGUGCUACAAUGGCGGUGACAGUGGGCAGCUAGUUCGCAAGAACAUGCUAAUCUCUAAAAACCGUCUCAGUUCGGAUUGUUCUCUGCAACUCGAGAGCAUGAAGGCGGAAUCGCUAGUAAUCGCGGAUCAGCAUGCCGCGGUGAAUACGUUCCCAGGCCUUGUACACACCGCCCGUCACACCAUGGGAGUUGGUUUCACCCGAAGGUAGUGCGCUAACUCGCAAGAGAGGCAGCUAAC
This 1113-nucleotide ribosomal RNA is filed under the name Novosphingobium sp. BE262. RNAcentral's name for it is "bacterial SSU rRNA". It matches the Rfam family "Bacterial small subunit ribosomal RNA", at positions 330 to 1457 of the family's 1533-position model. Lineage: Bacteria; Pseudomonadati; Pseudomonadota; Alphaproteobacteria; Sphingomonadales; Sphingomonadaceae. The record is from RNAcentral.